This 402-nucleotide ribosomal RNA is filed under the name uncultured bacterium. RNAcentral's name for it is "bacterial SSU rRNA". It matches the Rfam family "Bacterial small subunit ribosomal RNA", at positions 88 to 487 of the family's 1533-position model. The record is from RNAcentral.
CUGGCGACCGGCAAACGGGUGCGGAACACGUACAGAACCUUCCUUUAAGUGGGGGAUAGCCCGGAGAAAUCCGGAUUAAUACCCCGUAACAUUAUGUUGUGGCAUCACAUUAUAAUUAUAGAUUUAUCGCUUAGAGAUGGCUGUGCGGCUGAUUAGGUAGUUGGUGCGGGUAAAGGCCCACCAAGCCAACGAUCAGUAACUGGUGUGAGAGCACGACCAGUCACACGGGCACUGAGACACGGGCCCGACUCCUACGGGAGGCAGCAGUAAGGAAUAUUGGUCAAUGGACGCAAGUCUGAACCAGCCAUGCCGCGUGAAGGAUGAAGGCCCUCUGGGUUGUAAACUUCUUUUAUAGGGGACGAAAUGCAGUUAUUCUUAAUUGUUUGACGGUACCCUAGGAAU